GGGGGGGCGUGCACGGAGCAUGCGCAGAGCAGGGGUUGCGUGCAAAGCGUGCACCGGGGGCGUGCACCGAGCAAGGUUUGCAAGCACAGUGUGCACCAGGAGUGUGCAUGGAGCAAGGUUUGCAUGCACAAUGUGCACUGGGAGCAUGCACCAAGCAAGGUUUGCACGCAAAUUGUGCACCAGGGGCAUGCACUGAGCAGGGUUUGCAUGCAGAACAUGCACCAGGAGCGGGCCCAGAUCGCAGUUUGCAAGCACAGUGUGCACUGUGAGGGUGCACGGAGCAGGGUCUGUGGGCACAGUGCACCCUGUGAGCACGCAUGGAGCAUGUUUGUGUGCAAAUUGUGCACCGGGAGCGUGCACGGAGCAAGUUUUGCGCCCAGCACAUGCACCAAGAGCAUGCACAGAGCAAGGUCUGCACACAGAACGUGCACCAGGAGCAUGCACCGAGCACAGUUUCCAAGCACAGUGUGCACCGGGAGCGUGCACGGAGCAAGGUUUGCAAGCACAGUGCGCACUGAGCGUGCACGGGGCACCUUUGCUUGCAAAUCGUGCACCAAGGGCAUGCACGGAACAGUUUUGCACCCAGAACAUGCACCAAGAGCGUGCGCAGAGCAAGGUUUGCAUGCAGAACGUGCACCAGGGGCAUGCACAGGGCACAGUUUGCAAGCGCAGUGUGCACUGGGAGCAUGCACCAAGCAAGGUUUGCAUGCAAAUCAUGCACCAGGAGCAUGCACGGAGCAGUUUGGCACCCAGAAUAUGCACCGAGAGCAUGCACCGAGCACAGUUUCCAAGCGCAGUGUGCACUGGGAGCAUGCACGGAGCAAGGUUUGCGUGCACAAUGUGCACUGGGAGCAUGCACCAAGCAAGCUUUGCACGCAAGUCGUGCACCGGGAGCGUGCACCGAGCAGUUUUGCACCCAGAACGUGCACCAAGAGCGUGCACGGAGCAAGGUUUGCACGCAAAUCGUGCACCGGGAGUGUGCACCGAGCAGUUUUGCACCCAGAACGUGCACCAAGAGCCUGCACGGAGCAAGGUUUGCACGCACAGAGCACAGUUUGCAACUUUGCACGCACCACGCGUGCCAUGAGCGUGCACGGAGCGCGCUUGCACGCGCCGCACACACGCACGUGGCACUUUUGCACGCACGAGGAGCUUUGCACGUCCCCGUGCACGCGGCACCCGAGGGC
This 1187-nucleotide long non-coding RNA is filed under the name Anser cygnoides (Swan goose). RNAcentral describes it as "lncRNA (ENSACDG00005008800.1)". Lineage: Eukaryota; Metazoa; Chordata; Aves; Anseriformes; Anatidae. The record is from RNAcentral.